Peromyscus maniculatus bairdii (prairie deer mouse) is the source of this 585-nucleotide non-coding RNA. The record is from RefSeq and is a predicted model, not a curated record. Lineage: Eukaryota; Metazoa; Chordata; Mammalia; Rodentia; Cricetidae.
CAAGGGCCAAACCCAAACAAUGAGUAGGCAGUCAGAACCAUCCAGCUGUUAGCAGAGAGAACAACUGUCAGCGAAAGGAGGAGAAAACAGCCUUACAACAGACACCAGAAGUUGGGUUACCCAACUCAGACCAUCCCACUUGGCAGAGUACCCCAGAUUGAGAAAGCAAUAAGGAACCAAACUUUACGUGUCUUGUGAGUCUAACCACCAGGAGUUUCAGAUCCGUGGAUUUGGUGAGGACCUUCUUGCUGUGUUGUCUCAUUCUGGAAGGGGAAAGGUGGAAGGAAUGAAUAAAGAAGGGAAGGACAAAGAGACAUCCACAGGCAUCAAAGGCAUCUCCAAAGGACAAAAGAAAGAGAAGAGCCAGCUGUUUAUUUCUGGAUUCCCGAGUUGUUUGUUAUCAGCUUCUCUCAGUUUCUUGACUGAAGACCAGAUCAGCUGACCUCCAACUUCUGCUGUCAUGUCUUGCCUACGGUGACGGACUGCAUCUUAGAACUAUGAUCCAGAAGAAGCCUCACUCCUUUAAGUUGCCUUUGUCAAUUUUUUUUGUAACAACAAAUAAAUGCUGUUCCUACCUUCCCACCA